AGAGAGAAUGAGUGGACUACUCAACUCAUGCGAUGAAGAACACAGCUAGCUGAGAGAAUUAAUGUGAACUGCAGGACCCAUUUAUCAUUCACACUUAAACACACUGUGGCCUCGGCUUCCUCUAGAGGCUAUGCCUGUCUCAGCACUG
Molecule: ribosomal RNA, 148 nt
Filed under: Ochotona princeps (American pika)
Lineage: Eukaryota; Metazoa; Chordata; Mammalia; Lagomorpha; Ochotonidae
Description: 5.8S ribosomal RNA (ENSOPRG00000018088.1)
Rfam family: 5.8S ribosomal RNA
About the family: 5.8S ribosomal RNA (5.8S rRNA) is a component of the large subunit of the eukaryotic ribosome.
Source: RNAcentral